AAAACAUUAUGGAGGUAUGGGGAAUUGAACCCCAGCCCUCUCCCAUGCUAAGGGAGCGCUCUACCACUGAGCUAUACCCCCGCAUGU
This 87-nucleotide transfer RNA is filed under the name Caenorhabditis elegans. Its description in RNAcentral is "Unclassified non-coding RNA F15B9.14". The record is from RNAcentral. Lineage: Eukaryota; Metazoa; Nematoda; Chromadorea; Rhabditida; Rhabditidae.